CUCUCUCUCUCUUUCUUGCCAAUGUUUUAAUAAGAUUCUGUUGAAGUCUGUUCUCCAUACUUGGCAUUAUUUCCACUUAUGGCAUAUUCUAAGCUUGACCAUGAAAUCCUUUGAUUGUAUUAAUAUAGGCUUGGAUGGAUCUGAUGACCUGGCUUAAUUGAGAUUUUGGUUGCACCAUAUGCGACAGCUGGUUCCCCCAAUUUCUUACUUAUUUACCUUUUUUUGGGUGUUAGGCCGGCAUGGUUGGUAGAAACACUGUUGGUAUAUCAUAUAUACUCCCACAUACACAUGCAUGUAAAUGAGUUACUUAAACAGAGAAGUUAAGCAGUUGAGCUUGAAUUUUGCUUAUUUCUCUUUUGAGAUUGUAGGCACGUGAAUACUAGGUACUUGACCUACAUCAUUGUUAAUUGAGAUAUUAUACGUGCUUGUCCCAUGAGUAUCAAUUGAAAACAAUGCUUUAAGUAGCGACCUCAUGCAUGCACUCCAAACUUGAGACUUACUGGAUAUGUUUAUUGCUUGAACAAUAAGUGAGAUUCACAUUUUGAAGUAACAUGCUGCUGAUUUUGUUUCUCAAUUCAAAUUUUUUCUUGACCAAAUUUUAGGAUCAUUUGUCCGCAAACUAGGUUGGAUAUGGUCCGAUACGGUUCUAACGAGAAUCAAACUGGACUCGAAAUUUUCGGGUAUUUAGUAAGUGGAAAUGUCAAGUCCAAAUUUAAUUAUGGAACCGUUCAGGUUUGGUUCCAUUCGAUUCUCAACUUUCGUAUUAUAAUUAAUUUUUUUAAUAUUUUCAAAGCUACAUUAGUUUAACUAAUGAUGUGUUUAAUCUUAGUUCUUACAAAAUAAUGUAGUCCAAUUUUAUGUAUCUUUUGCGUCUUUCUUUGC
Molecule: long non-coding RNA, 882 nt
Filed under: Olea europaea (common olive)
Lineage: Eukaryota; Viridiplantae; Streptophyta; Magnoliopsida; Lamiales; Oleaceae
Description: long non-coding RNA (OEUR_LNC004051)
Source: RNAcentral